This 406-nucleotide ribosomal RNA is filed under the name uncultured bacterium. RNAcentral describes it as "partial 16S ribosomal RNA". It matches the Rfam family "Bacterial small subunit ribosomal RNA", at positions 30 to 526 of the family's 1533-position model. The record is from RNAcentral.
AUUGAACGCUGGCGGCAGGCCUAACACAUGCAAGUCGAACGAGUGGCGGACGGGUGAGUAAUGUCUGGGAAACUGCCUGAUGGAGGGGGAUAACUACUGGAAACGGUAGCUAAUACCGCAUACCCUCAGAUGUGCCCAGAGGGGAUUAGCUAGUUGGUGGGGUAACGGCUCACCAAGGAGACGAUCCCUAGCCGGUCUGAAAGGAUGACCGGCCACACUGAAACUGAGACACGGUCCAACCUCCUGCGGGAGGCAGCAGUGGGGAAUAUUGCACAAGGGGCGCAAGCCUGAUGCAGCCAUGCCGCGUGUAUGAAGAAGGCCUUCGGGUUGUAAAGUACUUUCAGCGGGGAGGCGUUACCCGCAGAAGAAGCACCGGCUAACUCCGUGCCAGCCGCCGCGGUAAUUC